GGGAAGGUGGCUCAAUGGUAGAGUGCUUGCCUUGCAUGCAUGAGGCCCUGGGUUCAAUUCCUCAGUGCCA
Molecule: non-coding RNA, 70 nt
Organism: Dipodomys ordii (Ord's kangaroo rat)
Lineage: Eukaryota; Metazoa; Chordata; Mammalia; Rodentia; Heteromyidae
Source: Rfam